Molecule: unclassified non-coding RNA, 384 nt
Filed under: uncultured Pirellulaceae bacterium
Lineage: Bacteria; Pseudomonadati; Planctomycetota; Planctomycetia; Pirellulales; Pirellulaceae
Description: contains 16S-23S intergenic spacer region
Source: RNAcentral
UCCGGUUUAACACCGGCAGUCUCCUUAGAGUUCCCGGCUUUACCCGCUGGUAACUAAGGACAAGGGUUUCGCUCGUUAAGCGACUUAACGCGACAUCUCACGACACGAGCUGACGACAGCCAUGCAGCACCUGUGCUAAGGCUCCCUUGCGGGCACCCCUCCUUUUCGGGAGGGUUCCAAAGCAUGUCAAGACUAGGAUAAGGUUCUUCGCGUAGCCUCGAAUUAAGCCACAUCCUCCACCGCUUGUGUGAGCCCCCGUCAAUUCCUUUGAGUUUUAGCCUUGCGGCCGUACUCCCCAGGCGGGGAACUUAAUGCGUUAGCUGCGACACAGAAACCGUGGAAUGGUCCCUACAUCUAGUUCCCAACGUUUACGGCAUGGACUAC